Maylandia zebra (zebra mbuna) is the source of this 1744-nucleotide non-coding RNA. Lineage: Eukaryota; Metazoa; Chordata; Actinopteri; Cichliformes; Cichlidae. The record is from RefSeq and is a predicted model, not a curated record.
AGCGUCACAGACUCUCACACAGACGUCACUCUGUCUGUGACGCUGGGUUUAAGAAACAAGAGCUCAGUUAAAAACAUGUUUAUCGCCAUCUUCUGUUAGUACGGAGCAUGUGGUUGGCUAACAGACUCAUAUUAGUUUAUGUUAGCUAACUAGUGACAGAACCAAUAGCUCAGAGGAAACUAAACAUCAGAGUACGAGGAUCACUGUAGUGCUGCAGCAGUGAGGCGUUAAACCAGGAUAUACUGUACACUUUACCUUCUGUGGCAGGAAGUGUCUGUUCGCUGUUUGGCUAGCUACAUGGUUAUGGUUGGGUGUUAGCCUAAUUAGUUGUGAUGUUUGCGUUUGUAAAGCACUUUAUGAGGACUGUGGAGCAGAGCGCGGAUUUAUCACUAAUCAGUAAAAUCGUUUCUAAAUCAAGUACUGAUUAAUCAGUGCAGUACGAUCAGUCAGCAUUUCACACUCUAACCAGCAGGGGCACUGCAGCAACACCUGAAGCGGGCCAAUGAGAGGCGCAGCCGGAAGUUAAAAGGCAGAUGGUUUAUGUGAUUUUUACUGAUUAUUUGUGAUUUGGAUGAUUUUCAGGUAAAGGAACGGAGUUUUGGUGGAGUGUGUUUUUUUCCCCCCAUCUCACUUGAUUGCUUCGCCAAACUCUAUUCAGAAAAGAUCAGAUUUCAGUUAAACGUGAUCAACUGAGCUCUGUGAUCUAAGAUAGCUUUUAUAGUUUUGGAUGAAGCAGCAGGAUUCCUACUUUAAUUCAGCUCACUCUGAAACCGACAUGGAGAAAGGUUUCUUAGUACAAAGCGCUGAUGAAGAUGUGAUGAUGCUAAUGUUUUGAUCCACUUUGAACGAGCAGAAUUUGACGUUUCUAUGAGCAGGUUUGGCAGGUCAGAGUUCAGCUGCAGGUGAAUGAUGGUGGAGAAGGUGACAUACUCCAAAGAGCUGCUGCAGCGAUGAGGUGGGGGGGGGAGCUGAGCUUCGAGGAGCUGCAAGCUGAAAACUACAAUCAGGAGCAGUUGGAAGUGGAGGAGAAACUGAAACCUUUGAGCGAGGAGGAGGAGCUAUUUGUUGGAGUUGCUACCUCUGAUUUUGGAGUAACCCAUGGGUGCAGGAACUCAUGGCCUCAAAUGCCAGUUUCCUGCAGGUUUUAGAUAUCAAGCUGGGUCAACACACCUGAAUCCUGAAUGAACCUGAAUGAUUAGUUAAUUACCAGGCCUCUGGAGAAUUUCAAGACAUGUUGAGGAAGUAAUUUAUCCAUUUAAAUCAGCUGUGUUGGAUCAAGGGCACAUCUUAAACCUGCAUGACACUGGUGCUCGAGGCUUGGAGUUGCCUACCCCCGGAGUAACCUUUGGAUGUAUUCGAGUACAUUAGAGUUCUCAGAGUAACUGUGGCUCUCCCUGCAGCUGCUUCCUGUCUCCUCAUGUGGACCUCUCACCGGUGCUUCCUUCCAGAUAUACGACGAAUUCCAGUCAUAUGCUGCAAGGCCUGCUGGAUAAUAAACAUACACCCUGCUCUCUGCUGCCACCUACUGUGUGCACCAGAAACACUUUUUGUUCUGCACGUGUGUGAAAAGAUGCUUACCGUAGUUUGAAAGGAUUAAGUUCCUGUUUCCUGCUAUCCAUAUGUCAGAGGAAGAGGACUGCUUACAUCUUACAGUUACAGUCAAUUCCUUCUUUUGAAGAGUGCUCCCUCUCAUCUGUUUUGAUUUUUAUUAAAGCUUCAAACAAUAAAUAUUACAUCAAAUUCA